Molecule: ribosomal RNA, 212 nt
Filed under: Escherichia coli
Lineage: Bacteria; Pseudomonadati; Pseudomonadota; Gammaproteobacteria; Enterobacterales; Enterobacteriaceae
Description: partial 23S ribosomal RNA
Rfam family: Bacterial large subunit ribosomal RNA
Source: RNAcentral
UAAUAGCUCACUGGUCGAGUCGGCCUGCGCGGAAGAUGUAACGGGGCUAAACCAUGCACCGAAGCUGCGGCAGCGACACUGUGUGUUGUUGGGUAGGGGAGCGUUCUGUAAGCCUGUGAAGGUGUACUGUGAGGUAUGCUGGAGGUAUCAGAAGUGCGAAUGCUGACAUAAGUAACGAUAAAGCGGGUGAAAAGCCCGCUCGCCGGAAGACC